AGAAGAAGAAGGAUUAGUGUCAUUUGACCGCCAAAAAUAGGAGAAAAAAGAACGCUCAUUCAUCUUCUUCUUCCAUUUUUUUCUGAAAAUUCUUUUUUCUCAGAAACAAAGAAAAAAGUUCGUUAAAUAAUAAUAUGUAGAAGGUGGUGUGAAAACAGGGAAAAAGGAAAGUUUCGGCGACACUUUUUUUAGUGUAAAAGUAGAAGGAAUAGUAGAAGAGGG
This is a non-coding RNA of Caenorhabditis elegans, 222 nucleotides long. The record is from Ensembl. Lineage: Eukaryota; Metazoa; Nematoda; Chromadorea; Rhabditida; Rhabditidae.